AAAGAUCGCAGCCUUCGGCAGCUCCUACAUGGGAUUUUUGUGCACCCUUUAGAAGCUGCCGAAGGCUGCGAUUUUU
This 76-nucleotide non-coding RNA is filed under the name Pseudomonas sp. 29. The record is from RNAcentral. Lineage: Bacteria; Pseudomonadati; Pseudomonadota; Gammaproteobacteria; Pseudomonadales; Pseudomonadaceae.